Molecule: ribosomal RNA, 1046 nt
Filed under: Vibrio sp. Aeh30-mm
Lineage: Bacteria; Pseudomonadati; Pseudomonadota; Gammaproteobacteria; Vibrionales; Vibrionaceae
Description: bacterial SSU rRNA
Rfam family: Bacterial small subunit ribosomal RNA
Source: RNAcentral
AUUGAACGCUGGCGGCAGGCCUAACACAUGCAAGUCGAGCGGAAACGAGUUAUCUGAACCUUCGGGGGACGAUAACGGCGUCGAGCGGCGGACGGGUGAGUAAUGCCUAGGAAAUUGCCCUGAUGUGGGGGAUAACCAUUGGAAACGAUGGCUAAUACCGCAUAAUGCCUACGGGCCAAAGAGGGGGACCUUCGGGCCUCUCGCGUCAGGAUAUGCCUAGGUGGGAUUAGCUAGUUGGUGAGGUAAUGGCUCACCAAGGCGACGAUCCCUAGCUGGUCUGAGAGGAUGAUCAGCCACACUGGAACUGAGACACGGUCCAGACUCCUACGGGAGGCAGCAGUGGGGAAUAUUGCACAAUGGGCGCAAGCCUGAUGCAGCCAUGCCGCGUGUGUGAAGAAGGCCUUCGGGUUGUAAAGCACUUUCAGUCGUGAGGAAGGUGGUGUUGUUAAUAGCAGCAUCAUUUGACGUUAGCGACAGAAGAAGCACCGGCUAACUCCGUGCCAGCAGCCGCGGUAAUACGGAGGGUGCGAGCGUUAAUCGGAAUUACUGGGCGUAAAGCGCAUGCAGGUGGUUUGUUAAGUCAGAUGUGAAAGCCCGGGGCUCAACCUCGGAAUAGCAUUUGAAACUGGCAGACUAGAGUACUGUAGAGGGGGGUAGAAUUUCAGGUGUAGCGGUGAAAUGCGUAGAGAUCUGAAGGAAUACCGGUGGCGAAGGCGGCCCCCUGGACAGAUACUGACACUCAGAUGCGAAAGCGUGGGGAGCAAACAGGAUUAGAUACCCUGGUAGUCCACGCCGUAAACGAUGUCUACUUGGAGGUUGUGGCCUUGAGCCGUGGCUUUCGGAGCUAACGCGUUAAGUAGACCGCCUGGGGAGUACGGUCGCAAGAUUAAAACUCAAAUGAAUUGACGGGGGCCCGCACAAGCGGUGGAGCAUGUGGUUUAAUUCGAUGCAACGCGAAGAACCUUACCUACUCUUGACAUCCAGAGAACUUUCCAGAGAUGGAUUGGUGCCUUCGGGAACUCUGAGACAGGUGCUGCAUGGCUGUC